UACGUAGGGUGCUAGCGUUGUUCGGAAUUAUUGGGCGUAAAGCGCGUGUAGGCUGUUAGUUAAGUCUGGUGUGAAAUCCCUGGGCUCAACCGAGGAAGUGCAUCAGAAACUAGCUAGCUGGAAGAUGGUAGAGGGAGGUGGAAUUCCGAGUGUAGAGGUGAAAUUCGUAGAUAUUCGGAGGAAUACCGGUGGCGAAGGCGGCCUCCUGGACCAUUCUUGACGCUGAGACGCGAAAGCGUGGGGAGCAAAC
RNAcentral lists this ribosomal RNA (250 nucleotides) under uncultured bacterium. RNAcentral's name for it is "partial 16S ribosomal RNA". It matches the Rfam family "Bacterial small subunit ribosomal RNA", at positions 524 to 773 of the family's 1533-position model. The record is from RNAcentral.